CGGCGCCCGCUGUGCAUUGGGAGGCUCACGUCCCCACCCUCGGGCUUUCCAAGGUGCCGCGCCAGGGGUUGCUGAGGUAGAGGUGGCUCCCCUGCUCCUCCUUCCACCUCUCCGAUUCCACCUCCUCCUCGCACCCCGCUGGGAACUCCUCCAGGGGCUGAGAUUGGAUUCACCGAGCCUGCGGAGAGUGGGGAACUGCGGGCAGGUCGGCGGAGUUAGAUGGCAGCAAAGGUGGGCCGGCUUGGUGUGAUAAAGUUCCAACUGGGUCCUUCCGCGAGCCCUGGGUCCAUAAGAUGUCAUCGGCGAGCGCUGGACUUGACCGUCAACUUGGGAUUGUUAAGGUAGAACGGGUAACUCUGGUCAGCAGCACUACCACCUGCAUCCACUAGAGGCUGCUCUUUCACCACGUCAUUUCUUCCUCUCCAACUGUUUCCACAGUAUUUUCAGCUGCUCUUCAUUUUGUUUUUCUUUUUCCUUUUACUUUUCUUACUCCCCUUUCUACACACUGAAGUUGCUGUUGUUUUAUGUUUACUUCUUCUCCUUCUAAUUCUUCUUUUCUUUUUUUUGAAAAGUUGGAGUGUGAGAUUGCAUUCUCGGCUCAUCACAGCCUCAACCUUCCUGGGCUCCCGCAGGUGUUCUUGCCAUCUCAGCCUUCCAAGUGGCUGAGAUUGCAGGAAUAGCUUGAUUCUGGGAUGUCGAAGCUGCAGUGAGCCAUGAUCACGCCAUUGCCCUCCAGCCUGAGUGACAGAGAAAGACCCUGUUUCAGAAAGUACUGUAUGGAUGGUCAAGUGCUGGAAAGAAAAAAAAAUGGCCCAUAAAUUUGUUUGGUUUCACAAGAGACAUGGGAGACCAAAUAACGCACGAUGAGUACUUUUCUAAAUAUCCUGUUUAUUCUCCCAACGGGGCUCAUAAAAAUACGGAUGCAUUCAGUGGGUUGAGAGAUCUCUGUGCAGUCGUGACCCUGCAAUUAUAUUUGACAAGGGUGGUGAUGACAGAUGGGUGGCACAGAAGCCUACCCUUCUUUGGCACCAAUUGAGCAUGGUGACAACAGAUUCAAAAUGGCCUGUGUCUGAACUUGAUGGUCCUGUUUUUCUGCUCUGGUCUUUAGGAAUGAGGGGAGCCUUCCCGAGUUCCGCCAUUUCCUUGCAUUUUUCUUUUUACAUAUAUUCGUUCACUUAUUUAUUUACUAAUUUAUUUUAAAUAGAGUCUUGUUCUGUAGCCCAGGCUGUGGGGUUUUUUUGGCUGGCUGCAAUCUCCACCUCCCUGGUUCCAGCAAUUCUCCUGCCACAGCCUCCUGAGUAGCUGGGAUUACAGGUGUAUGCCACCCUGCUCACCUAACUUUUGUUUUUUUAGUAGAGACAGGGUUUCACCAUGUUGCCCAGGCUGACCUUCAGGGAUCUGCCUGCCUCAGUCUCCCAAAGUGCUGGGAUAACAGGUGUGAGUCACCGCGCCCAGCCUAAAUUGCAAUUUUUCAAAAUAAAUGUUUUGUUUUGCUUUUUUUAAAAGUAGGUCAUCACCUAGUGACCACUGUUAUUGAAAGGCCACUGUUAUUGAAAGUGGCCACUGUUAUUUAAAGGUGGCACUGAGGGCCGCCUGGCCACUUCACAGAGCCUGGGGCAACUGCUUUCUCUCCUUCCCUUCUGGAGGCCCCUCCCUCUCUCCCUCACUGCCUAGGGAACUUCCAUCCUGGUGCGGACCCUGUUGUUCUUUUAUCCCUCUAGGUAAAUGGUGUCUCCUUCUGUCGCCAAGGCGGUGGCAUGGUCUCGGCUGGCUGCAAUCUCCACCUCCUUGCUUCCAGCGAUUCUCCUGCCUCAGCCCCCCGAGUAGCAGAAAUUACAGAACCCAGAGUUGAUCUCUGCACCACGCCAUCACUGCUGGUGGUGAGGAAAUGGUGCCUCUUUCAGUGAUAUGAAGUUAAAACCAGGAGGGAAGAUCAGUGGAGCCUUCUUUCUGCCAUCUUGUGUUACCUUUGCAGCCAAGAAUCAGAAUGAAGAACUUUCAAUAAGAAAAGCUUUCAGAACCAGGAAGGACGUAGAAGAUGUCCUGGUUCUGUACGUUUAACAUUGGACUGUUUCUUCAACUUAGGUGCAUAACAGUGACUAAUCAGGGAUUAUCAUAGAUAAUUUGACUUGGAAUAUAGAGUUCAUUCAAAUACUUUAUCUAGACAAUUUAAGUACUGGCUGAUUUGGCAUGAAAAUCUGACAAACUAUUUUCUUGGUAUUCAAUUGAUUUUUACUCUGUUUGCUGUAGUAGUUUUAUAAACCAAUCAGUCUUCAUUAAAGUUCUGGGAAUUCUUACCCUGUUCAAAUGAUAUGAUUCUAACGUUGUCAAAAAUCUGUAUUCAAGAAUACUUCUCAGGACCUUUUCCAUCCUUUCAUGAAACUCCUUAAAGAUACAGUAUUCUAUAAUUUUGCAAGCUUGUAAAGUUUUCAGAAUUUGAAAUGCCUCACAAUUAAGCAAUUUACUGUAGAAAUGAUUUUAAAUUUUCAUAGACACAGUUGACAAGAAAAUUUUAUUAUUUACAGGAGUGACCCACCACACCAGGCCUCUGAAGUUCAUUUAAUAAAAUUUUAUAAAUAAAUUU
RNAcentral lists this long non-coding RNA (2584 nucleotides) under Homo sapiens (human). Its description in RNAcentral is "HSALNT0409398". Lineage: Eukaryota; Metazoa; Chordata; Mammalia; Primates; Hominidae. The record is from RNAcentral.